GACAGAGGGUGCAAACGUUGUUCGGAAUUACUGGGCGUAAAGCGUGUGUAGGCGGUUCGCAAAGUCGGAUGUGAAAGCCCCGGGCUCAACCUGGGAAGUGCACUCGAUACUGGCGAACUAGAGUAUUGGAGAGGUCGGUGGAAUUCUCGGUGGAGAGGUGAAAUUCGUAGAUAUCGAGGGGAACACCAGUGGCGAAGGCGGCCGACUGGACAAAUACUGACGCUGAGACACGAAAGCGUGGGGAGCAAACAGG
RNAcentral lists this ribosomal RNA (253 nucleotides) under uncultured bacterium. Its description in RNAcentral is "partial 16S ribosomal RNA". It matches the Rfam family "Bacterial small subunit ribosomal RNA", at positions 524 to 776 of the family's 1533-position model. The record is from RNAcentral.